Molecule: ribosomal RNA, 1378 nt
Filed under: metagenome
Description: bacterial SSU rRNA
Rfam family: Bacterial small subunit ribosomal RNA
Source: RNAcentral
AGAGUUUGAUCCUGGCUCAGAUUGAACGCUGGUGGUAUGCUUAACACAUGCAAGUCGAACGGUAGCAGGUACUUCGGUAUGCUGACGAGUGGCGGACGGGUGAGUAACGCGUAGGAAUCUACCUAUCUGUGGGGGAUACCAGUUGGAAACGACUGUUAAUACCGCAUAAUAUCUGAGGAUUAAAGGUGGCAACUUGUUGCUGCCGCGGAUGGAUGAGCCUGCGUUAGAUUAGCUUGUUGGUGGGGUAAAGGCCUACCAAGGCUGCGAUCUAUAGCUGAUUUGAGAGGAUGAUCAGCCACAUUGGAACUGAGACACGGUCCAAACUCCUACGGGAGGCAGCAGUGGGGAAUAUUGGACAAUGGGGGAAACCCUGAUCCAGCAAUACCAUGUGUGUGAAGAAGGCUCUAGGGUCGUAAAGCACUUUAGUCAGGGAGGAAGGCCUUGUCGUUAAUAGCGGCAGGGAUUGACGUUACCUGAAGAAUAAGCACCGGCUAACUCCGUGCCAGCAGCCGCGGUAAUACGGGGGGUGCAAGCGUUAAUCGGAAUUUCUGGUGUAGCGGUGAAAUGCGUAGAGAUCAGAAGGAACACCAAUGGCGAAGGCAACACUCUGGACUAAUACUGACGCUGAGGGACGAAAGCGUGGGGAUCAAACAGGAUUAGAUACCCUGGUAGUCCACGCUGUAAACGAUGAGUACUAGCUGUUGGAUUCGGUGUAAAGGAUCUAGUGGCGUAGCUAACGCGGUAAGUACUCCGCCUGGGGACUACGGUCGCAAGACUAAAACUCAAAGGAAUUGACGGGGACCCGCACAAGCGGUGGAGCAUGUGGUUUAAUUCGAUGCAACGCGAAGAACCUUACCUGGUCUUGACAUCCUGAGAACUUUCUAGAGAUAGAUUGGUGCCUUCGGGAACUCAGUGACAGGUGCUGCACGGCUGUCGUCAGCUCGUGUUGUGAAAUGUUGGGUUAAGUCCCGCAACGAGCGCAACCCCUAUUGAUAGUUACCAUCAUUAAGUUGGGUACUCUAUUGAGACUGCCGCUGACAAGGCGGAGGAAGGUGGGGACGACGUCAAGUCAUCAUGGCCCUUACGACCAGGGCUACACACGUGCUACAAUGGAUAUUACAGAGGGCUGCGAUACCGCGAGGUGGAGCGAAACUCAGAAAGGUAUUCUUAGUCCGGAUUGCAGUCUGCAACUCGACUGCAUGAAGCAGGAAUCGCUAGUAAUCGCGAAUCAGAAUGUCGCGGUGAAUACGUUCCCGGGUCUUGUACACACCGCCCGUCACACCAUGGGAGUGGGUUGCUCCAGAAGUAGAUAGCUUAACCUUCGGGAGGGCGUUUACCACGGAGUGAUUCAUGACUGGGGUGAAGUCGUAACAAGGUA